This 500-nucleotide ribosomal RNA is filed under the name uncultured bacterium. RNAcentral's name for it is "partial 16S ribosomal RNA". It matches the Rfam family "Bacterial small subunit ribosomal RNA", at positions 30 to 523 of the family's 1533-position model. The record is from RNAcentral.
AUUGAACGCUGGCGGAAUGCUUUACACAUGCAAGUCGAACGGCAGCACGGACUUCGGUCUGGUGGCGAGUGGCGAACGGGUGAGUAAUGUAUCGGAACGUGCCCAGUCGUGGGGGAUAACGUAGUGAAAAUUACGCUAAUACCGCAUACGAUCUAUGGAUGAAAGCGGGGGAUCGCAAGACCUCGCGCGAUUGGAGCGGCCGAUAUCAGAUUAGGUAGUUGGUGGGGUAAAGGCCCACCAAACCAACGAUCUGUAGCUGGUCUGAGAGGACGACCAGCCACACUGGAACUGAGACACGGUCCAGACUCCUGCGGGAGGCAGUAGUGGGGAAUUUUGGACAAUGGGCGAAAGCCUGAUCCAGCCAUUCCGCGUGCAGGAUGGAGGCCCUCGGGUUGUAAACUGCUUUUGUACAGAACGAAAAGGUUUCUACUAAUACUAGGAGCUCAUGACGGUACUGUAAGAAUAAGCACCGGCUAACUACGUGCCAGCAGCCGCCGUAA